UUACUUUAGUAGCACAUAUACUAAAAUUGUGGUAAUACAGAGAAGAUUUACAUCAUCCCUGUGCAAUAACAACACACAAAUUUAUGAAAUAUUCUAUGUUUUG
Cercocebus atys (sooty mangabey) is the source of this 103-nucleotide small nuclear RNA. The record is from Ensembl. Lineage: Eukaryota; Metazoa; Chordata; Mammalia; Primates; Cercopithecidae.